UACGAAGGGGGCUAGCGUUGCUCGGAAUCACUGGGCGUAAAGGGUGCGUAGGCGGGUCGUUAAGUCAGGGGUGAAAACCUGGAGCUCAACUCCAGAACUGCCUUUGAUACUGAAGAUCUUGAGUUCGGGAGAGGUGAGUGGAACUGCGAGUGUAGAGGUGAAAUUCGUAGAUAUUCGCAAGAACACCAGUGGCGAAGGCGGCUCACUGGCCCGAUACUGACGCUGAGGUGCGAAAGCGUGGGGAGCAAACAGG
This 253-nucleotide ribosomal RNA is filed under the name uncultured bacterium. Its description in RNAcentral is "partial 16S ribosomal RNA". It matches the Rfam family "Bacterial small subunit ribosomal RNA", at positions 524 to 776 of the family's 1533-position model. The record is from RNAcentral.